CUUGCUUCUCUUGAGAGCGGCGGACGGGUGAGUAAUGCCUAGGAAUCUGCCUGGUAGUGGGGGAUAACGUCCGGAAACGGACGCUAAUACCGCAUACGUCCUACGGGAGAAAGCAGGGGACCUUCGGGCCUUGCGCUAUCAGAUGAGCCUAGGUCGGAUUAGCUAGUUGGUGGGGUAAUGGCUCACCAAGGCGACGAUCCGUAACUGGUCUGAGAGGAUGAUCAGUCACACUGGAACUGAGACACGGUCCAGACUCCUACGGGAGGCAGCAGUGGGGAAUAUUGGACAAUGGGCGAAAGCCUGAUCCAGCCAUGCCGCGUGUGUGAAGAAGGUCUUCGGAUUGUAAAGCACUUUAAGUUGGGAGGAAGGGCAGUAAAUUAAUACUUUGCUGUCCCCGACGUUACCGACAGAAUAAGCACCGGCUAACUCUGUGCCAGCAGCCGCGGUAAUACAGAGGGUGCAAGCGUUAAUCGGAAUUACUGGGCGUAAAGCGCGCGUAGGUGGUUCGUUAAGUUGGAUGUGAAAUCCCCGGGCUCAACCUGGGAACUGCAUUCAAAACUGACGAGCUAGAGUAUGGUAGAGGGUGGUGGAAUUUCCUGUGUAGCGGUGAAAUGCGUAGAUAUAGGA
This 627-nucleotide ribosomal RNA is filed under the name uncultured bacterium. Its description in RNAcentral is "bacterial SSU rRNA". It matches the Rfam family "Bacterial small subunit ribosomal RNA", at positions 79 to 701 of the family's 1533-position model. The record is from RNAcentral.